AGCUAGGCUGGCCUGAGACUCCCUGCUCCCUCCUGAUGGACAGACAGAUGAAGACAGAGUGAGACAGACAAAAAGAUCAGUGUGGACAAGGUGUGGCACGACACCAGGCUCAGGUUGUUGGGCACGGUGCAGUCCUGUGUGUGAUUAGUGUUGACUGUACAAUCCCUUUAUAGCAGGCAGCACUAAGCCCUCAGGCCUACUACACAAUCAACAUGAGUGCCAAUGAGCAUUAGAUCGAAUCAUUCUGGCCUUUUUAUCACAGAGCUGCAGCACAGGCAUGUGUGCGAGGAGAUUAACUCCUCUUUCAUACUUUCACUUUCAUUUCUCAACUAUUUGAGACAUGUGAACUUGUAAAACUGGUUGCCGGGUCUCAUGCAAAUUUAGGCAACUAGUUUCAACCAAGACUUCUGAGUAAUAGUCCACUGGGAGGUUUUAACAGCAACAAUCUGCUGUGUUACUUUGUGACAUAAUGAGAGGUGGUGUAAAGGGCAGCGUUCUUCCAAAGCAAACAGAAAUAAAGCUUUCAAGAGUUUCGGCCAAACACAGAAAGACUGAUUUUUAAAAAAAAAUAUAUACUUCUCAGUGAAGCCAAGUAGAAACAAAACACUCACAGAGCAACAGAGACUGAAGCAUAAUAUUUUAUUGAACUAUUGUAUUUAUGUGAUCUUGGGGAACUGUCAACUUCCAGAGGAACAACUUUAUGAAUGCCAUUAAGGCAAACAAUGCAACAAGUCACGAGGAUCAGAGCGUCUCGUGGAAAUGACAACAGGGUUGUGUAUAAAGGUCACUACAGAUCAACUUCAGACAUACACACUAAGUAAAUUAUUUUGUAAAGAUAUGCUUUGUAACUAUGAUGUUCAAGGUGGCUGAAACAAAAAAAA
This is a long non-coding RNA of Larimichthys crocea (large yellow croaker), 881 nucleotides long. RefSeq lists it as uncharacterized. NCBI's taxonomy places the organism in Eukaryota, Metazoa, Chordata, Actinopteri, Sciaenidae. The record is from RefSeq and is a predicted model, not a curated record. The transcript has 2 exons.